AACAUGUUUGGUUCCAGCAAAUCAGGUAGCACAUGUGAAUUGUGGGAACUGCCAAAUGCUGCUGAUGUAUCAAUAUGGAGCAAGAUCAGUGAAAUGUGCAGUCUGCAACUUUGUCACUUCCAUUGGGGUAAGUAUCAACCAAAUCUGUACAAAGUGAUGAUUGAGUUAUGAAAGCCAUGUUUAAAUGUGAAAACACAAUUUAUAUUGCUAAAUCCUUCAUGCUUUGAACACCUUUUUCAUUGUUGAAGUCAGUGCCCUAAAUGUUGUUCAUUUGAUAGGCUUCUCCAAGCACUGAGCAAAAAGCCUAGCAUUUGAGUACCUUGAAUCACAGAGCUUCUUCCAUCUCUUAUGCCAAGCUGUCUUGUGACACCAAAUGUAUAGAGCUUCUUCUCUAGGCUAAUCCUUCCUUUUGGCAUGUCUAAGGUGUGAAGGUCAUCAUGGAGAGCAUGUCCUCAACUGAGCUUGGAUGGCUAAUAUUUUCUUCUUCUGUCUUGUGUCAACUGUACUUUAUGAUGACAUGAUUUGCAUCUCUGUGUCAAAAUGUUGCAGAAGAUUAUUCAAAGGUUGUUAUUGCAUACCUUAAAGUUGUACUUCCCUCCCUUAUUUUUUUCUUAUCCAAUUGCUCAUCUGCUAAUUAUAAUUAUCUUUGAUUACUGAUAUAAUCUUAAAUCCAGACUCUCAUUUUAAAUCCUGAUCGAAAAAAUAUGAUAAAUCUAACACGUGGAUUCCCCACCACUAACGCAUCAACCUGGGCCGAUGUGCACAUUGAUGCUGACUGCAACAGCUUACACAACUCCUUACACAUCCGAGUAACGUCGAUAACUUCAAAAAUCAUUUUCAUGAAAUAACUCUCCAUCGAGUGGAGACGAUUAUCAAAGCUAUCCCUAUCUAUAAAAUGUAAAAUUUUAAUUAUCCUAAACUCAGCAAUACUCUUCUCUACAUCAUUGAUUUAAACAAUGGAGAGACUUUGUCAGAUACAUCCAAUGUAAUUUUAUCCAAACUACUUGGAAUUGGACUUACGACAAACUCAGACCCAAACCAAGUUGACUUCAUGACUCAUGUUGAACAGUAGGACAAUCAAAAAUUAGUUUGGAGUCAUUAAAAUUCUGAAUGCAGAUCAAAUUAGAAAACAGAAGUAUAUUAAUAAGGAUCAGAACAAUACCAUUACCAUCUAAUCAAACUGGGACAGAGCAUAAGCAUCUUUGAUAAAUAACCAAAUCAACUUCACUUGCCAAAGGUGAUAAUUGCAGGACAUGCUAAAAUCUAGCACAAAUGAAGGUCUUGCACAAAACCUACAUGCCACUUGGUCUGACAAAAGCUUAAUGUACCUCACCCUGUUUAAGCUCAUUCAUACCAAUAGCAAUAUUUACACAAGACUCUCAUAGACCAUGGAGAUGUAAGUUACAAACAUCAUUUGUACCUCAUGUGGACUAAGGAUUAAACUACUGGUUAGAGGUUUAUUUAACCCACUAAAUUUUAGCCUGGGUUAAAAAUAUCCCACCUAAGUUAAAGAAUCCUCUCUCAUCUUGUUUGCCCAACAUGACAACUUACCUGGAUUAGCACCCCCAAACAAAAAAAGGAUCAACCAACAUUGUCUAAAACCUUCAGCAAUGAAUCUCAAGCAAUUUACUCUGGAAAGUUGUUAUGAAUAUAUAUGUACACAAAUAUAUAUUCAUAAAAUUAGUAAUUUUUAUAUUUAUGUAUAUUAUUAUACAACAAUAACAAAAUCAUAAAGUCCCAACUAUUUAUGCAUAGUUUUAUAUAAUAACAAAACUAAAAGAUCUCGACCAUUUGGGCUGAAUACAUCAAUAUUUUAUUGUCGGUAAAUUGAUACAUAAUCUUAUAAAUUUCAAAUACAAUCAGCAACAUAAAAGCAUUAAAAUUUUAUAAGGCAUUUAGAUUUUCCAAAACUAUUAAAUAUAUGAUGACAGAUAUCUAUGAAUGAGAUUAAUAUUUACAACUCCCUCUUUACUAUUUAUUAUUUUAUUUUAUUUUUUUUAAUAUUGGUAACAAUUGACUGCGAAUAGUAAGAUUCUAUAUAAAACCUCAUUUAAAUAAUAAAGCUAAGAAAAUGAGAUAAAAGAAAACAUCACCGCGAGGAUUCAGACUCGUUGGCUUAUGAUAAGAAGUCCACAUGCACACCACCAUCACAGCUAUGGAAAGGCACCGUACAUCACAAUUCGCAUUGCCUUGUCCCAUCCUUUUAGAGCGAUUGCGGAGAAUUCAUUGGUUUUGUGUUGUGAUAGACGAAGAGAUGGUAGUGCGCUUGUCCUCUUGUAUCGUUCGCCAGAGAUGUCAAUCGUAUUCACAUAUUUAUCUUCGGGUCAUCCGAUCACGAUGGAGAAGCUGAUAAGUUGCAGUGUACCUGUUUGUCGAAAUGAAAAGCCCGCCGAAAUCCGAGAAAUUAUGCAGGAAAACCCGAUCUUUCUAGAUCUAAUCAAGUCUUCUGUUGAGAAACCCGCAUGCGAAGCACGCCCUGGUGCUGCGCGAUGAUGAGAGAGAGGAACCUGCAUGCAAGCCGGGAGGGAAGCUCCGGCGCGUAGAGGCAUCGUCGCUUACGAAGGCCGCAGAACAGAUGUCCACGUCUCUGCGAUGACCAUGCGAGAAGAAAUGGGGGAGAAAUCGCUAGGGUGACACAGAAAUGGUGGGAGGAACUAAGCCUCCUCGAUGCCCUCCGGUCUCUUUUCCCUAAUCGGUAACCGAUAACCGAUACGAUUAAGGGUUUCAUGUCCUCAUCACCCAUCAAACUCUAUUUCAUCGACAACCAUUCUCAU
RNAcentral lists this long non-coding RNA (2774 nucleotides) under Musa acuminata (dwarf banana). RNAcentral describes it as "long non-coding RNA (MACU_LNC003755)". Lineage: Eukaryota; Viridiplantae; Streptophyta; Magnoliopsida; Zingiberales; Musaceae. The record is from RNAcentral.